GAUGAAGAACGUAGCGAAAUGCGAUAAGUAGUGUGAAUUGCAGAAUUCAGUGAAUCAUCGAAUCUUUGAACGCACAUUGCGCCCCUUGGUAUUCCAAAGGGCAUGCCUGUUCGAGCGUCAUUUGUACCCUCAAGCUUUGCUUGGUGUUGGGCGUCUUGUCUCUAGCUUUGCUGGAGACUCGCCUUAAAGUAAUUGGCAGCCGGCCUACUGGUUUCGGAGCGCAGCACAAGUCGCACUCUCUAUCAGCAAAGGUCUAGCAUCCAUUAAGCCUUUUUUUCAACUUUUGACCUCGGAUCAGGUAGGGAUACCCGCUGAACUUAAGCAUAUCAAUAAGCGGAGA
Molecule: unclassified non-coding RNA, 340 nt
Filed under: soil metagenome
Description: partial contains 5.8S ribosomal RNA, internal transcribed spacer 2, and large subunit ribosomal RNA
Rfam family: 5.8S ribosomal RNA (bases 1-120)
Source: RNAcentral